Molecule: long non-coding RNA, 300 nt
Filed under: Solanum tuberosum (potato)
Lineage: Eukaryota; Viridiplantae; Streptophyta; Magnoliopsida; Solanales; Solanaceae
Description: long non-coding RNA (STUB_LNC007933)
Source: RNAcentral
GCACCUUACACACCUGCACAUGUCUGUAGGAAAUAUAGAAGGAGAAUACUAUCUUUAGAGAAUGCUCAAGUUUUAUAUAGGCUACUUAAGGCCACUUGAGAUGAUUACAAUCAUCAACUACAUCUCUAUUUAUACUACUAAUAAUGUAAAUCAAAGGUCUUGCACAAAUAACUAGAUACAUGUAUCACAAUUUACUAGAUACAUGUAUUACGAAAUUCUAAAAGACUUCUUGAAAAACUAAGAGACAAUUUUGGAAGACUAAACAUUAAUGUGGAUGCAUUAAUUCCAACACUACUCCCC